Molecule: transfer RNA, 61 nt
Filed under: Gammarus lacustris
Lineage: Eukaryota; Metazoa; Arthropoda; Malacostraca; Amphipoda; Gammaridae
Description: tRNA-Ser
Source: RNAcentral
UACCGUUAAGUUUUAAACAUUUGUUUUGAAAGCAAUAUAAGGGUUUCACACCCAACGGUAU